AAGUCGUAACAAGGUCUCCGUAGGUGAACCUGCGGAGGGAUCAUUACUGAGUGAGGGCCUCCGGGUCCGACCUCCAACCCCCAUGUAUUCCGACUCUGUUGCCUCGGGGGCGACCCUGCCUUCGGGCGUUGGGGGCCCCCCGGGCUGGACCACACAACUCUGCAUCUUUGCGUCUGAGUAACACUUUGAAUUAAAUCAAAA
This 201-nucleotide unclassified non-coding RNA is filed under the name plant metagenome. Its description in RNAcentral is "partial contains small subunit ribosomal RNA and internal transcribed spacer 1". The stretch from base 1 to 46 matches the Rfam family "Eukaryotic small subunit ribosomal RNA", at positions 1786 to 1831 of the family's 1831-position model. The record is from RNAcentral.